AGAGUUUGAUCCUGGCUCAGGAUGAACGCUAGCUACAGGCUUAACACAUGCAAGUCGAGGGGCAGCAUGUUGGUUGCUUGCAACCAACGAUGGCGACCGGCGCACGGGUGAGUAACGCGUAUCCAACCUACCCUUGUCCAUCGGAUAACCCGUCGAAAGGCGGCCUAACACGAUAUGCGGUUCACAGCAGGCACCUAACGUGAACGAAAUGUGAAGGAGAAGGAUGGGGAUGCGUCUGAUUAGCUUGUUGGCGGGUAACGCCACAAGGCUACGAUCAGUAGGGGUUCUGAGAGGAAGGUCCCCCANAUUGGAACUGAGACACGGUCCAAACUCCUACGGGAGGCA
This 345-nucleotide ribosomal RNA is filed under the name uncultured bacterium. Its description in RNAcentral is "bacterial SSU rRNA". It matches the Rfam family "Bacterial small subunit ribosomal RNA", at positions 8 to 350 of the family's 1533-position model. The record is from RNAcentral.